Long non-coding RNA from Cyanistes caeruleus (blue tit), 276 nucleotides. RefSeq lists it as uncharacterized. NCBI's taxonomy places the organism in Eukaryota, Metazoa, Chordata, Aves, Passeriformes, Paridae. The record is from RefSeq and is a predicted model, not a curated record.
CAGGUGCAGAGGGAUACUGCUGCUCUGAGGAGACAGCAGUGGAGAACCCUCCGACAGCUGGCUGGUCAGAAAAAGGCAAGGCAGGCGCCAUCCUAUCUCCUCUGUUGUGGAAAGCCCAGCAGGUCAAGCAUUGUGGUGUGGGUGUGACUGAAGGCAGAAACGGGACUGUGCAUCAAUGAAAUUGUUUACAAAUAUGUCAUGGGAAUUGAAGGAGGGGAAGUCAUCUCCUAGGCUUUAGACACAGAAAAGAACCUGAAAGUAUAUAUCCAAAACAAA